AUAUUAUAGAAUGUUAUGAUAAAAUGUAGUGUUUUUAUCAGUUUAAUAUCUGAUAUGUGAGUCAUUGACCCCACUUGAUGUUAAUUUUAUUUUUUAUGAAAGAAAAUCCAUUAUCUUAAUUUGGUGAUGUGGUUUUUCAUGCAUUGCCUUGAAUUUCCAGUAUUGUUGUUACAACUAACUCACUCCUC
Cynara cardunculus var. scolymus (artichoke) is the source of this 188-nucleotide small nuclear RNA. RefSeq annotates it as U2 spliceosomal RNA. The transcript has a single exon. Lineage: Eukaryota; Viridiplantae; Streptophyta; Magnoliopsida; Asterales; Asteraceae. The record is from RefSeq and is a predicted model, not a curated record.